GACGAACGCUGGCGGCGUGCCUAAUACAUGCAAGUCGAGCGGGGUUGUCGGAGUGGAGUCCUUCGGGAUGAAGCACCGCCAACCUAGCGGCGGACGGGUGAGUAACGCGUGGGUAACCUGCCCUAAAGCCCGGGAUAACACCGGGAAACUGGUGCUAACACCGGAUACCUUCCGAAGAGGGCAUCCUUUUGGAAGAAAGGUUAACGCUUUAGGAUGGGCCCGCGUCCCAUUAGCUAGUUGGUGAGGUAACGGCUCACCAAGGCAGUGAUGGGUAGCCGGCCUGAGAGGGUGGACGGCCACACUGGGACUGAGACACGGCCCAGACUCCUACGGGAGGCAGCAGUAGGGAAUAUUGCGCAAUGGGCGAAAGCCUGACGCAGCGACGCCGCGUGGGUGAUGAAGGCCUUCGGGUUGUAAAACCCUGUCCUUGGGGAAGAAGGAAGUGACGGUACCCAAGGAGGAAGCCCCGGCUAACUACGUG
Molecule: ribosomal RNA, 481 nt
Filed under: uncultured bacterium
Lineage: Bacteria
Description: bacterial SSU rRNA
Rfam family: Bacterial small subunit ribosomal RNA
Source: RNAcentral